Molecule: ribosomal RNA, 401 nt
Filed under: uncultured bacterium
Lineage: Bacteria
Description: bacterial SSU rRNA
Rfam family: Bacterial small subunit ribosomal RNA
Source: RNAcentral
UGGGGAAUAUUGCACAAUGGGGGAAACCCUGAUGCAGCAACGCCGCGUGAGUGAUGACGGCCUUCGGGUUGUAAAGCUCUGUCUUCAGGGACGAUAAUGACGGUACCUGAGGAGUAAGCCACGGCUAACUACGUGCCAGCAGCCGCGGUAAUACGUAGGUGGCAAGCGUUGUCCGGAUUUACUGGGCGUAAAGGGAGCGUAGGCGGACUUUUAAGUGAGAUGUGAAAUACCCGGGCUCAACCUGGGUGCUGCAUUUCAAACUGGAAGGCUAGAGUGCAGGAGAGGAGAGUGGAAUUCCUAGUGUAGCGGUGAAAUGCGUAGAGAUUAGGAAGAACACCAGUGGCGAAGGCGACUCUCUGGACUGUAACUGACGCUGAGGCUCGAAAGCGUGGGGAGCAAAC